This is a non-coding RNA of Paramuricea clavata, 225 nucleotides long. The record is from the annotation of a GenBank genome assembly. NCBI's taxonomy places the organism in Eukaryota, Metazoa, Cnidaria, Anthozoa, Malacalcyonacea, Plexauridae.
UUUGUCUUUAUUUAUUUAUUUAUAAAUACAUUCACAGCAAGUUAGCUUAUUGUGUCUUUAUUUAUUUAUAAAUACAUUCACAGCAAGUUAGCUUAUCGUGUCUUUAUUUAUUUAUAAAUACAUUCACAGCAAAUCUGCUUAUCGAUGAUAAUCGUCUAUUUUACAACACUACUCAUAGGCAGUGGUAAUAAAUACUUUGUGCAUAAUGUAUUGCAGUCUAUUUUA